UACGAAGGGGGCUAGCGUUGUUCGGCAUUACUGGGCGUAACGGGCGCGUAGGCGGUGUGUCAAGUCAGGCGUGAAAGCCCCGGGCUCAACCUGGGAACCGCGCUUGAGACUGGCAUGCUCGAGUUCGGGAGAGGAUGGUGGAAUUCCCAGUGUAGAGGUGAAAUUCGUAGAUAUUGGGAAGAACACCGAUGGCGAAGGCAGCCAUCUGGACCGACACUGACGCUGAGGCGCGAAAGCGUGGGGAGCAAACAGG
This 253-nucleotide ribosomal RNA is filed under the name uncultured bacterium. Its description in RNAcentral is "partial 16S ribosomal RNA". It matches the Rfam family "Bacterial small subunit ribosomal RNA", at positions 524 to 776 of the family's 1533-position model. The record is from RNAcentral.